Molecule: long non-coding RNA, 814 nt
Organism: Homo sapiens (human)
Lineage: Eukaryota; Metazoa; Chordata; Mammalia; Primates; Hominidae
Source: Ensembl
GGUUUCUCAUUCUCUCUUUGCCUGCUGCCAUCCAUGUAAGAUGGGACUUGCUACUCCUAGACUUCCACCAUGAUUGUGAGGCUUCUCCAGCCACGUGGAACUACCAAUACGCCAACCAGCAAUGACCCUUCUCAAUCAAAAUGGCUUCUAAUAGGGUCCUUCCAGUUUGAAGGCAAAGUGUGCAACAUUGUUUAAAUGGUGAUAUUGUAGGAAACUAUACCACAAACAGAAUCAAGUGCAUGAAGCCUGCUUCCGCUUUCCCUGCCCUGGGACAUCAGACUCCAGGUUCACCAGCCUUUGGACUUGCACCAGCAGCUUCCCGGGGAAUCUCAGGACUUCAGCCACAGACUGAAGGCUGCCAUGUCGGCUUCCCUGGUUUUCCGGCUUUCAAACUCGGACUGAGCCAUUACUGGCUUCUCUCUUUCCCCAGCUUGCAGAUAUCCUAUCAUAGGACUUCACCUUGUAAUCGUGUCAGUUAAUUCUCCCUAACUGACUCCCUUUUAUAUAUACAUAUAUCCUACUGGUUCUGUCUCUCUGGAGAAGCCUAGUACAUGCCAUUUUAAAAAUGUACAUGUGUGUACAUGUAUAGUUCUGUGCAAUUUUAUCUUGUGUAUAGAUUCAUGUAACUACCACCACAAUCACAAUAUAUAACUGUUCCAUUAUCACAAAAGAACUCCCUCACACUGACUGCCUCUUUGUAUUUCUACUUACUCCCCCAUUCAUUUUCCCCAGGCCCUGUCCCCUGGAAAUUAUUCAUCUGUUCUCUAUCUCUGUAAUUUUGUCAUUCAAGUAUGUUAUAUAAAUGGAAACAUAC